GGUCAGGUAGCCCAGUGGUUAAGGCGUUGCCUUUACACGGCAAAGGUCGUGGGUUCAAUCCCCACCCAGAUCA
Molecule: transfer RNA, 73 nt
Filed under: Kwoniella heveanensis CBS 569
Lineage: Eukaryota; Fungi; Basidiomycota; Tremellomycetes; Tremellales; Cryptococcaceae
Also listed under: 1 other name
Description: tRNA-Val (TAC) (tRNA-Val-TAC-1-1)
Rfam family: tRNA
About the family: Transfer RNA (tRNA) molecules are approximately 80 nucleotides in length. Their secondary structure includes four short double-helical elements and three loops (D, anti-codon, and T loops).
Source: RNAcentral